Molecule: non-coding RNA, 224 nt
Organism: Pelobates cultripes (western spadefoot toad)
Lineage: Eukaryota; Metazoa; Chordata; Amphibia; Anura; Pelobatidae
Source: the annotation of a GenBank genome assembly
AUAAAUUUUAUGACAAUUGUUAACUUUUAAGAGUGAAAUAUACCGAAUUUACAGGGUUCAGACGUCUGUGCUUGUAAUUACCAAAUAUUUAUGAUAGUGGCUACAUUUACAUUAUGACCUUCAGCUAAACCAGGAUCCGUGACAUCCAAUUUCCAUCAUCCACAGUCCUGCAGCCAGCGCCCAGGGGGUUCCAAGAUUUGUCACUGCAAUGGAGAAGUAUCUUG